GGAAUGCCGAAUCAGGCGCUUAUAAUGUCACCCGCUCUGGCGACAGCUAUAUUCUGGUUAACUUCUAUAGCCAGUGAGCAUAUUGCGCCACUUCAGGAUGCUGCAGAUCUGGAAAUCGCAACGGAGGAAGAAAACUCGUUGCUGGAAGCCUGGAAAAAGUAUCGGGUGUUGCUGAACCGUGUUAAUACAACAAC
This 194-nucleotide small RNA is filed under the name Escherichia coli. Its description in RNAcentral is "IS009". It matches the Rfam family "IS009". Lineage: Bacteria; Pseudomonadati; Pseudomonadota; Gammaproteobacteria; Enterobacterales; Enterobacteriaceae. The record is from RNAcentral.